This 468-nucleotide ribosomal RNA is filed under the name uncultured bacterium. Its description in RNAcentral is "partial 16S ribosomal RNA". It matches the Rfam family "Bacterial small subunit ribosomal RNA", at positions 28 to 507 of the family's 1533-position model. The record is from RNAcentral.
GACGAACGCUGGCGGCGUGCUUAACACAUGCAAGUCGAACGGAAAGGCCCUGCUUUUGUGUGGUGCUCGAGUGGCGAACGGGUGAGUAACACGUGAGUAACCUGCCCUUUACUUUGUGAUAACUUCAGGAAACUGGGGCUAAUACCGGAUAGGAGCUCCUGCUGCAUGGUGGGGGUUGGAAAGUUUCGGCGGUUGGGGAUGGACUCGCGGCUUAUCAGCUUGUUGGUGGGGUAGUGGCUUACCAAGGCUUUGACGGGUAGCCGGCCUGAGAGGGUGACCGGCCACAUUGGGACUGAGAUACGGCCCAGACUCCUACGGGAGGCAGCAGUGGGGAAUAUUGCACAAUGGGCGGAAGCCUGAUGAAGCAACGCCGCGUGCGGGAUGACGGCCUUCGGGUUGUAAACCGCUUUAGCCUGUGACGAAGCGUGAGUGACGGUAAUGGGUAAAGAAGCACCGGCUAACUACGUG